AAGUCGUAACAAGGUUUCCGUAGGUGAACCUGCGGAAGGAUCAUUAUCGAGUUCCUGCCCCCCGGGGUAGAUCUCCCACCCUAGCUUAUCCAACUUUGUUGCUUUGGCGGGCCGUCCGUUCGGCCACCGGCCCCCCGGCUGGUGCGUGCCCGUCAGAGACCCACACACGCUCUUGAUUGUGUUGUCUGAGUCCUUAUAUAAUCGUUAAAGCUUUCAACAACGGAUCUCUUGGUUCUGGCAUCGAUGAAGAACGCAGCGAAAUGCGAUAAGUAAUGUGAAUUGCAGAAUUCAGUGAAUCAUCGAAUCUUUGAACGCACAUUGCGCCCCUUGGUAUUCCGAGGGGCAUGCCUGUCCGAGCGUCAUACAACCAAUCCCCUCGGGGGUAUUGGACCCGGCCGGCGACGGCCGGNCCUAAACCCAGUGGCGACAUCGCACGCACUCGAGCGUAGUAGCUUUAUCUCGCUUGGAGGCGCGUGCGAUCUUGACCAGCAAACCUCACAUACGUGUUUAUAGGUGGACCUCGGAUCAGGUAGGAAUANCCGCUGAACUUAAGCAUAUCAAUAAGCGGAGGAAAAGAAACCAACAGGGAUUGCCUCAGUAACGGCGAGUGAAGCGGCAACAGCUCAAAUUUGAAAUCUGGCUCCUCUACGGGGUCCGAAUUGUAAUUUGCAGAAGAUGCUUCGGGCGUGGUGCCGGUCCAAGUUCCUUGGAAUAGGAUGCCACCGAGGGUGAGAGCCCCGUACGAUCGCGCGCCUAUGCCCGCACGAAGCUCUUUCGACGAGUCGAGUUGUUUGGGAAUGCAGCUCAAAAUGGGUGGUAAAUCUCAUCUAAAGCUAAAUACCUGCCAGAGACCGAUAGCGCACAAGUAGAGUGAUCGAAAGAUGAAAAGCACUUUGGAAAGAGAGUUAAACAGUACGUGAAAUUGUUGAAAGGGAAGCGCUGGCCACCAGACUUGCGCGCGGGCGAUCAUCCGGGGUUCUCUCCGGUGCACUCGCUCGCGCUCAGGCCAGCAUCGGUUUCGGUGGUUGGAUAAAGGUCGCGGGAACGUGGCUCCUCUCGGGGAGUGUUAUAGCCCGCGGCGACAUGCAGCCCACCGGGAUCGAGGACCGCGCUUCGGCUAGGAUGCUGGCGUAAUGGUGGUCAGCGACC
RNAcentral lists this ribosomal RNA (1149 nucleotides) under uncultured fungus. RNAcentral describes it as "eukaryotic LSU rRNA". The stretch from base 516 to 1149 matches the Rfam family "Eukaryotic large subunit ribosomal RNA", at positions 1 to 649 of the family's 3401-position model. Lineage: Eukaryota; Fungi. The record is from RNAcentral.